RNAcentral lists this small nucleolar RNA (88 nucleotides) under Capra hircus (goat). Its description in RNAcentral is "Small nucleolar RNA SNORA71 (ENSCHIG00010031621.1)". It matches the Rfam family "Small nucleolar RNA SNORA71", at positions 48 to 134 of the family's 134-position model. From Rfam's summary of the family: The members of this family belong to the H/ACA class of snoRNAs which bind a number of proteins (including dyskerin, Gar1p and Nop10p) to form snoRNP complexes. This class of snoRNAs are thought to guide the sites of modification of uridines to pseudouridines by forming direct base pairing interactions with substrate RNAs. This family includes U71 (SNORA71), ACA39 (SNORA39) and ACA60 (SNORA60). Lineage: Eukaryota; Metazoa; Chordata; Mammalia; Artiodactyla; Bovidae. The record is from RNAcentral.
NNNUGCAGGGAAAGGAACUGCUGAAAGCAUUUUCCCGGUGUUUGGAGGGUUCAGUCCUGUCCCUUCUGAACUCUGGAGCUGUCACACA